Molecule: ribosomal RNA, 445 nt
Filed under: uncultured bacterium
Lineage: Bacteria
Description: partial 16S ribosomal RNA
Rfam family: Bacterial small subunit ribosomal RNA
Source: RNAcentral
GUGAGGAAUAUUGGUCAAUGGGCGGGAGCCUGAACCAGCCAAGUCGCGUGAAGGAAGAAGGAUCUAUGGUUCGUAAACUUCUUUUGCAGGGGAAUAAAGUGCAGGACGUGUCCUGUUUUGUAUGUACCCUGAGAAUAAGGAUCGGCUAACUCCGUGCCAGCAGCCGCGGUAAUACGGAGGAUCCGAGCGUUAUCCGGAUUUAUUGGGUUUAAAGGGUGCGUAGGUGGUUUGAUAAGUCAGCGGUGAAAGUUUGCAGCUUAACUGUAAAAAUGCCGUUGAAACUGUCGGACUUGAGUGUAAAUGAGGUAGGCGGAAUGCGUGGUGUAGCGGUAAAAUGCAUAGAUAUCACGCAGAACUCCGAUUGCGAAGGCAGCUUACUAAGCUACAACUGACACUGAAGCACGAAAGCGUGGGGAUCAAACAGGAUUAGAAACCCGAGUAGUCC